This 460-nucleotide ribosomal RNA is filed under the name uncultured bacterium. Its description in RNAcentral is "partial 16S ribosomal RNA". It matches the Rfam family "Bacterial small subunit ribosomal RNA", at positions 338 to 795 of the family's 1533-position model. The record is from RNAcentral.
ACUACGGGGGGCUGCAGUGAGGAAUAUUGGUCAAUGGGCGGAAGCCUGAACCAGCCAAGUAGCGUGCAGGAUGACGGCCCUACGGGUUGUAAACUGCUUUUAUACGGGAAUAACGCGCCUUACGUGUAGGGCUUUGCAUGUACCGUAUGAAUAAGGACCGGCUAAUUCCGUGCCAGCAGCCGCGGUAAUUCGGAGGGUCCGGGCGUUAUCCGGAUUUAUUGGGUGUAAAGGGAGCGUAGGCCGCAUGUCAAGCGUGCCGUGAAAUGUCCGGGCUCAACCCGGGCCUUGCAGCGCGAACUGGCGUGCUUGAGUCCGCGGAAGGCAGGCGGAAUUCGUCGUGUAGCGGUGAAAUGCUUAGAUAUGACGACGAACCCCGAUUGCGAAGGCAGCUUGCUGCAGCGGAACUGACGCUGAUGCUCGAAAGCGCGGGUAUCGAACAGGAUUAGAUACCCCAGUAGUG